CAGCCCCGUUGAGAAUCACAGCUGCAAGGAACGCUGGAAACAGCCCAACAUCCUGGACUCUCGAGGGGUCUGCACUGACCUUCUGUGGGACCUUGUGCCUGUUCUGGAACUUUCUGAGCCUUGGGUUUCCUAACAGGGAUAUGAAUACUCUUUGGGUUUAUUGGGAUGCAGGGCCGGCGUGUACCAUCUCCGUGUGCCCGGGGCCAGGCACACAGCAGGAGUUAGCUGGCUGCUAAACAUGCCGGCCUCGAGGCAAGCAAGGUUAAAACAAGGGCAGCUCAUCUACUGCCGCAGACCCUCCCCGCCUGCUCCACGAGCCAAAACUCCAGUUGGACAAGAGACUGACUUCAGGAACUUUCUCUUGUGGUUGCAAUUUGCUGUAGCAGUCGGUCCACAGGUAAGAAAGGGGAGAGAUGACCUUCCGUGGGCUCUGGGGCCAAAGACUCACCAGAAGCUGUCAACACAAGGAGCUGAAGGAUGGCCCAGGUCACCCCGCCAUGGUCCCACUGGACGACCAAGCAAGAGUGCCAUGUCCUGAGCUUCCUGCACCCAUAGCUGGCAUCAAAAUCCCAGGAAGUUGGUAUGAUUACUGCCCUUUUUCACAGAAACUGAAGCAUAAGCACAGGUCACCUUAAGUAACCUGUUCAAGGUCACAGAGUAAGUGCUCCAGCCAUACGGCGAGGAAACCAGUGCACCUGCGACCAUCUGCAAUGACACCACAUCUGCAGCUGCUUAAUCAGCCCCGGGAUGGUCACUGCAGGAAGAAAUGGGCUUCAGACUAAACCUCCUAAGCCUGGUUCUGUGCAUGCAAGUGUUCUAUAAAUAUUAAUAUUCAGAACAUGCUCCUUAACAUAUGUUAAGACGUAUGCGAUAAAAGCUGAUGAUAAUAUUGCUAAUUAAAGAAUACCGGGUGCUCAGGACGAGACUGCACCAGUGCUGACCCUGUGAGUGCCUCUCACUAACAUCUGCCACCUCUUCUUCCCAUCUUAGCUCCAAGUCCCACAUGGGCAGGGACCGCCAUGUGUUCACUGUUGUUUCUCCAACACCUUCCCCUCUUAUUCUACGAGGAGUUAUCACAAGGCAGAGUAAGUGAGGAGAGA
This is a non-coding RNA of Microcebus murinus (gray mouse lemur), 1100 nucleotides long. Lineage: Eukaryota; Metazoa; Chordata; Mammalia; Primates; Cheirogaleidae. The record is from RefSeq and is a predicted model, not a curated record.